This is a non-coding RNA of Schistosoma mattheei, 45 nucleotides long. The record is from Rfam. Lineage: Eukaryota; Metazoa; Platyhelminthes; Trematoda; Strigeidida; Schistosomatidae.
AUCCAGCUGAUAAGUCCCAAAAAGGACGAAAUGCGCGUCCUGGAU